This 224-nucleotide long non-coding RNA is filed under the name Capsicum annuum. RNAcentral describes it as "long non-coding RNA (CANN_LNC004895)". The record is from RNAcentral. Lineage: Eukaryota; Viridiplantae; Streptophyta; Magnoliopsida; Solanales; Solanaceae.
GGGUAAUUUCUUUUCAGUUGAGUAUGAGUCAGUUGGGGAUCUGUCCCAAUGGCUCUCUAGUUCUUGAGAAGUAGAGGCUUUGUCAGACUAGACUAUUAGUGGUAUUUUAGACUUUUCAGUAUGUUGCUAUUCAGAUAGUAUUCUUUUGUUAUUUCAAUUGAGAUAUGUUAUGACAAUGCCAUUAUUUUGCUUUAUCCAUCUUAAAAGUAAGUGUUAAAAGUAGU